CUCUCCGUAGCUCAGAUGGUAGAGCAACUGACUCUUAAUCAGUGGGUCGUGGGUUCGAUUCCCCCCGGGGAGA
Molecule: transfer RNA, 73 nt
Filed under: Bacteroidales bacterium
Lineage: Bacteria; Pseudomonadati; Bacteroidota; Bacteroidia; Bacteroidales
Description: tRNA-Lys
Rfam family: tRNA
About the family: Transfer RNA (tRNA) molecules are approximately 80 nucleotides in length. Their secondary structure includes four short double-helical elements and three loops (D, anti-codon, and T loops). Further hydrogen bonds mediate the characteristic L-shaped molecular structure. tRNAs have two regions of fundamental functional importance: the anti-codon, which is responsible for specific mRNA codon recognition, and the 3' end, to which the tRNAs corresponding amino acid is attached (by aminoacyl-tRNA synthetases). tRNAs cope with the degeneracy of the genetic code in two manners: having more than one tRNA (with a specific anti-codon) for a particular amino acid; and 'wobble' base-pairing, i.e. permitting non-standard base-pairing at the 3rd anti-codon position.
Source: RNAcentral